This 274-nucleotide ribosomal RNA is filed under the name uncultured bacterium. Its description in RNAcentral is "partial 16S ribosomal RNA". It matches the Rfam family "Bacterial small subunit ribosomal RNA", at positions 523 to 796 of the family's 1533-position model. The record is from RNAcentral.
AUACGGAGGGUGCAAGCGUUAUUCGGAAUCACUGGGCGUAAAGGACGCGUAGGCGGGUUGGAAAGUCAGAUGUGAAAUCCUACAGCUUAACUGUAGAACUGCAUUUGAAACUUCUGAUCUAGAGUAUGGGAGGGGGAGAUGGAAUUAGUGGUGUAGGGGUAAAAUCCGUAGAUAUCACUAGGAAUACCGAAAGCGAAGGCGAUCUCCUGGAACAUAACUGACGCUAAGGCGUGAAAGCGUGGGGAGCAAACAGGAUUAGAAACCCUAGUAGUCC